GGGCGCUUAGCUCAGUGGGAGAGCGUCUGCUUCACGCGCAGAAGGUCGUAGGUUCAAGUCCUACAGCGCCCACCA
RNAcentral lists this transfer RNA (75 nucleotides) under Defluviitoga tunisiensis. RNAcentral describes it as "tRNA-Val". It matches the Rfam family "tRNA". From Rfam's summary of the family: Transfer RNA (tRNA) molecules are approximately 80 nucleotides in length. Their secondary structure includes four short double-helical elements and three loops (D, anti-codon, and T loops). Further hydrogen bonds mediate the characteristic L-shaped molecular structure. tRNAs have two regions of fundamental functional importance: the anti-codon, which is responsible for specific mRNA codon recognition, and the 3' end, to which the tRNAs corresponding amino acid is attached (by aminoacyl-tRNA synthetases). tRNAs cope with the degeneracy of the genetic code in two manners: having more than one tRNA (with a specific anti-codon) for a particular amino acid; and 'wobble' base-pairing, i.e. permitting non-standard base-pairing at the 3rd anti-codon position. The record is from RNAcentral. RNAcentral also lists the same sequence under 1 other name. Lineage: Bacteria; Thermotogati; Thermotogota; Thermotogae; Petrotogales; Petrotogaceae.